This is a long non-coding RNA of Limanda limanda (common dab), 672 nucleotides long. RefSeq lists it as uncharacterized. The record is from RefSeq and is a predicted model, not a curated record. NCBI's taxonomy places the organism in Eukaryota, Metazoa, Chordata, Actinopteri, Pleuronectiformes, Pleuronectidae. The transcript has 2 exons.
UCUGGGCACAACGGGCAAGCGUCAGACCUGUGCCAUGAGAGCACCAUUCAGCGUAAACCACACAGACCACACAUAACAUUGGGCCCAACCGGGAGAGUGGGGAUUUUUCAGAUGGGCCCUACGAGCAUAGAUAUAUGCCUACGAGUCUCCGAAGCUACUCGACUCCAGCGUCAGCCUGUUUCCGGUUCGGCGUCACCUGAGCUAACAGGCUACCCCUGUCAGUGAACACCACCCGAGACUGUGGACAGGUUCACUCACAUCGGAUGAAUAAUACGUUUUGAAGUUCUGCUUGUUCUGCUGGCAGAGAGGCUAAAGACGUGUGAGCUCCCGUUUCUGAGGUACGGACGAGCCUGAAGGACACAGCUGUGCUGACCGUUUUCUGUCUCUUAUGGCAAAGAAGAAAAAUAAAACACUGGGUUCUUAUCUAAAGUGUAUCAAAUCAGGAAGCAAAAGAUAAAUAUUGUUCUAAUAAGUGUUAAUUUGAAUAUAUAAUAUAUAAUGAAUAAAGAAAUUAACUUUAUUAUCCAUGACACUUAGCAAUGACUGCCAACUCUAAACAGUUGAAGGCCGUCUUUAGUUAGGGAGGAAAACACAAAGUGUUGUGCAGAUGAAGCUGAUGCAUGUCGCCUCCUGUUGAUAAUAAUAAAUUAAUAAAUUAUGCAAGUUAUUUGA